RNAcentral lists this long non-coding RNA (276 nucleotides) under Vigna radiata. RNAcentral's name for it is "long non-coding RNA (VRAD_LNC014362)". The record is from RNAcentral. Lineage: Eukaryota; Viridiplantae; Streptophyta; Magnoliopsida; Fabales; Fabaceae.
AUUUUACUCCAAAGUUAAAUUCGAGAGAAAGAUUAAGACAAACAAUCUUCAGUCAGCGUGGACUUUUAUUGGCUUGUACCGUGGCUAAAGGCUAAAAGGUAUUGAAAAAAAGGAUAAUGAAGGUCCAAAUAAGUGCUUGACGGUUAAAAUGCUUUAAGCAAGAAUCAUUUGCAAGGUGUCCAGUCAACUUGUCCUUAGGGAUUUGAACUUCAAGCACCCUUUAUUUUUCAUUGUCAUUUUCCUCCUUUUUUCUUUGGAUUAUUCUUUCAUUGCCCC